RNAcentral lists this ribosomal RNA (406 nucleotides) under uncultured bacterium. RNAcentral describes it as "partial 16S ribosomal RNA". It matches the Rfam family "Bacterial small subunit ribosomal RNA", at positions 30 to 526 of the family's 1533-position model. The record is from RNAcentral.
AUUGAACGCUGGCGGCAUGCCUAACACAUGCAAGUCGAACGAGUGGCGGACGGGCGAGUAAUGUCUGGGAAACUGCCUGAUGGAGGGGUAUAACUACUGGAAACGGUAGCUACUACCGCAUACCAUCGGAUCUGCCCAGAGGGGAUUAGCUAGUAGGUGGGGUAACGGCUCACCUAGGCGAAGAUACCUAGCUGGUCUGAGAGGAUGACCAGCCACACUGGAACUGAGACACGGUCCAGACUCCUACGGGAGGCAGCAGUGGGGAAUAUUGGACAAUGGGCGAAAGCCUGAUCCAGCAAUGCCGCGUGUGUGAAGAAGGUCUUCGGAUUGUAAAGCACUUUAAGUUGGGAGGCGUUACCAACAGAAUAAGCACCGGCUAACUUCGUGCCAGCAGCCGCGGUAAUAC